RNAcentral lists this ribosomal RNA (1346 nucleotides) under uncultured bacterium. RNAcentral's name for it is "bacterial SSU rRNA". It matches the Rfam family "Bacterial small subunit ribosomal RNA", at positions 28 to 1381 of the family's 1533-position model. The record is from RNAcentral.
GACGAACGCUGGCGGCGUGCUUAACACAUGCAAGUCGAACGGAAAGGCCCUGCUUUUGUGGGGUGCUCGAGUGGCGAACGGGUGAGUAACACGUGAGUAACCUGCCCUUGACUUUGGGAUAACUUCAGGAAACUGGGGCUAAUACCGGAUAGGAGCUCCUGCUGCAUGGUGGGGGUUGGAAAGUUUCGGCGGUUGGGGAUGGACUCGCGGCUUAUCAGCUUGUUGGUGGGGUAGUGGCUUACCAAGGCUUUGACGGGUAGCCGGCCUGAGAGGGUGACCGGCCACAUUGGGACUGAGAUACGGCCCAGACUCCUACGGGAGGCAGCAGUGGGGAAUAUUGCACAAUGGGCGGAAGCCUGAUGCAGCAACGCCGCGUGCGGGAUGACGGCCUUCGGGUUGUAAACCGCUUUCGCCUGUGACGAAGCGUGAGUGACGGUAAUGGGUAAAGAAGCACCGGCUAACUACGUGCCAGCAGCCGCGGUGAUACGUAGGGUGCGAGCGUUGUCCGGAUUUAUUGGGCGUAAAGGGCUCGUAGGUGGUUGAUCGCGUCGGAAGUGUAAUCUUGGGGCUUAACCCUGAGCGUGCUUUCGAUACGGGUUGACUUGAGGAAGGUAGGGGAGAAUGGAAUUCCUGGUGGAGCGGUGGAAUGCGCAGAUAUCAGGAGGAACACCAGUGGCGAAGGCGGUUCUCUGGGCCUUUCCUGACGCUGAGGAGCGAAAGCGUGGGGAGCGAACAGGCUUAGAUACCCUGGUAGUCCACGCUGUAAACGGUGGGUACUAGGUGUGGGGUCCAUUCCACGGGUUCCGUGCCGUAGCUAACGCUUUAAGUACCCCGCCUGGGGAGUACGGCCGCAAGGCUAAAACUCAAAGGAAUUGACGGGGCCCCGCACAAGCGGCGGAGCAUGCGGAUUAAUUCGAUGCAACGCGUAGAACCUUACCUGGGUUUGACAUGGAUCGGGAGCGCUCAGAGAUGGGUGUGCCUCUUUUGGGGUCGGUUCACAGGUGGUGCAUGGCUGUCGUCAGCUCGUGUCGUGAGAUGUUGGGUUAAGUCCCGCAACGAGCGCAACCCUUGUUCACUGUUGCCAGCACGUUAUGGUGGGGACUCAGUGGAGACCGCCGGGGUCAACUCGGAGGAAGGUGGGGAUGACGUCAAGUCAUCAUGCCCCUUAUGUCCAGGGCUUCACGCAUGCUACAAUGGCUGGUACAGAGAGUGGCGAGCCUGUGAGGGUGAGCGAAUCUCGGAAAGCCGGUCUCAGUUCGGAUUGGGGUCUGCAACUCGACUUCAUGAAGUCGGAGUCGCUAGUAAUCGCAGAUCAGCAACGCUGCGGUGAAUACGUUCCCGGGGCU